UAAGGGAUAUUGCGCAAUGGGCGAAAGCCUGACGCAGCAACGCCGCGUGGAGGAUGAAGGCCUUCGGGUUGUAAACUUCUUUGGCUCAGGACGAGGAAGGACGGUACUGAGCAAACAAGUCACGGCUAACUACGUGCCAGCAGCCGCGGUAAAACGUAGGUGGCAAGCGUUAUCCGGAAUUACUGGGCGUAAAGGGUGUGCAGGCGGGGGUGCAAGUGGUGUAUGAAAUCGCUCGGCUUAACCGGGCGGGGUUAUGCCAGACUGCACUUCUAGAGGACGAGAGAGGGGGGUGGAAUUCCGGGUGUAGUGGUGAAAUGCGUAGAGAUCCGGAGGAACCCCAGAGGCGAAGGCGGCCCCCUGGCUCGUACCUGACGCUCAGCCACGAAAGCAUGGGGAGCGAACGGGAUUAGAUACCCGUGUAGUCC
This 425-nucleotide ribosomal RNA is filed under the name uncultured bacterium. Its description in RNAcentral is "bacterial SSU rRNA". It matches the Rfam family "Bacterial small subunit ribosomal RNA", at positions 355 to 796 of the family's 1533-position model. The record is from RNAcentral.